GGCGAACGCUGGCGGCGUGCUUAACACAUGCAAGUCGAACGGAAAGGCCCUGCUUUUGUGGGGUGCUCGAGUGGCGAACGGGUGAGUAACACGUGAGUAACCUGCCCUUGACUUUGGGAUAACUUCAGGAAACUGGGGCUAAUACCGGAUAGGAGCUCCUGCUGCAUGGUGGGGGUUGGAAAGUUUCGGCGGUUGGGGAUGGACUCGCGGCUUAUCAGCUUGUUGGUGGGGUAGUGGCUUACCAAGGCUUUGACGGGUAGCCGGCCUGAGAGGGUGACCGGCCACAUUGGGACUGAGAUACGGCCCAGACUCCUACGGGAGGCAGAAGUGGGGAAUAUUGCACAAUGGGCGGAAGCCUGAUGCAGCAACGCCGCGUGCGGGAUGACGGCCUUCGGGUUGUAAACCGCUUUCGCCUGUGACGAAGCGUGAGUGACGGUAAUGGGUAAAGAAGCACCGGCUAACUACGUG
This 468-nucleotide ribosomal RNA is filed under the name uncultured bacterium. RNAcentral's name for it is "partial 16S ribosomal RNA". It matches the Rfam family "Bacterial small subunit ribosomal RNA", at positions 28 to 507 of the family's 1533-position model. The record is from RNAcentral.